GGCGCUAUAGCUCAGUCGGUAGAGCAAAGGACUGAAAAUCCUUGUGUCCCCGGUUCGAUUCCUGGUGGCGCCA
RNAcentral lists this transfer RNA (73 nucleotides) under Prevotellaceae bacterium. RNAcentral describes it as "tRNA-Phe". It matches the Rfam family "tRNA". Rfam says of the family: Transfer RNA (tRNA) molecules are approximately 80 nucleotides in length. The record is from RNAcentral. Lineage: Bacteria; Pseudomonadati; Bacteroidota; Bacteroidia; Bacteroidales; Prevotellaceae.